This 275-nucleotide unclassified non-coding RNA is filed under the name Hevea brasiliensis (rubber tree). The record is from RNAcentral. Lineage: Eukaryota; Viridiplantae; Streptophyta; Magnoliopsida; Malpighiales; Euphorbiaceae.
UAGCAUAACAGUAAAUUAAAUCAGGUAAAAAUGCCUUUUGUGUCAUUCCAAAAAUGGGUGAUACCAUGUUGUAAUUUGAACAUACAAGGUGAAGUGAAUAGCCAGUCCUGAAUCAGGACAGGAUAAAAUUUGAAGAAAGACUGAAACAAAGACAAGUUACCAUGAUGAAAAAGAAGAGGGUUUACAUCAGACAACACACAGAAGUACAAAAUAUUCCCUUCGAUUUAUGAGUAUACAAGCAAUUAUAACGCAUAAUGAUCAAGGUAACAACCGUG